CGGGUGCACUGAUCCGGCCGGGCCUUUCCCUCUGUGGAACCCCAUGGCCUUCACUGGCUGUGCGGGGGAAACAGGACUUUUACUGUGAAAAAAUUAGAGUGCUCCAGGCAGGCCUAUGCUCGAAUACAUUAGCAUGGAAUAAUAGAAUAGGACGCGUGGUUCUAUUUUGUUGGUUUCUAGGACCGCCGUAAUGAUUAAUAGGGACAGUCGGGGGCAUCAGUAUUCAAUUGUCAGAGGUGAAAUUCUUGGAUCUAUUGAAGACUAACUACUGCGAAAGCAUUUGCCAAGGAUGUUUUCAUUGAUAAGGAACGAAAGUUAGGGGAUCGAAGACGAUCAGAUACCGUCGUAAUCUUAACUAUAAACUAUGCCGACUAGGGAUCGGACGAUGUUAUUUCUUGACGCGUUCGGCACCUUUCGAGAAAUCAAAGUGCUUGGGCUCCAGGGGGAGUAUGGUCGCAAGGCUGAAACUUAAAGAAAUUGACGGAAGGGCACCACCAGGGGUGGAACCUGCGGCUUAAUUUGACUCAACACGGGGAAACUCACCAGGUCCAGACACAAUGAGGAUUGACAGAUUGAGAGCUCUUUCUUGAUUUUGUGGGUGGUGGUGCAUGGCCGUUCUUAGUUGGUGGAGUGAUUUGUCUGCUUAAUUGCGAUAACGAACGAGACCUUAACCUGCUAAAUAGCCCGUACUGCUCUGGCAGUUCGCCGGCUUCUUAGAGGGACUAUCGG
This 729-nucleotide ribosomal RNA is filed under the name uncultured eukaryote. RNAcentral describes it as "SSU rRNA". It matches the Rfam family "Eukaryotic small subunit ribosomal RNA", at positions 670 to 1426 of the family's 1831-position model. The record is from RNAcentral.